GCCAUGCCUUUGAAAAUGGAACAAUGAAAACAUCAAUCACCAACAAUAGUUCUCACAAAGAUAAAAAAAACUAUUACAUCUCAAUACAACAAGAAAAAGAAGACUAACACUAUCAUGAAGAUAAGAGCUGCAGUAUGAGACUCAUUUGGCUCAACUUUUUCGACGAUGAAUCAACUCCCAACCUACUUUUAUUAAGUUAAUGUUACACAAUACAUGACACAUCCCAUCUUUAGAUCUCCGAAAAUGAUUUGACUGUCCUGAACUCGUGACUAUCUGGAAGAGGUCCGUUUCCUGGUCUGAUAGAGAUUAUCACUUCCAAACCUGCUGCCUUUGCAGCUGUGGCUUCUUGAUAGACAUCUGUCACAAACAAAAUCUCUGAUGGAU
Molecule: unclassified non-coding RNA, 384 nt
Filed under: Hevea brasiliensis (rubber tree)
Lineage: Eukaryota; Viridiplantae; Streptophyta; Magnoliopsida; Malpighiales; Euphorbiaceae
Source: RNAcentral